CUGUUAUUUGAAAGGAGAAAAGGUUAAUUUUCCCUUGAUGCAUGGAAGAGGCCUUCAGGCCUGACAGUUAAGACACUGCCAUCUACUUUGUGACAUCUAAAUAUGGUUAACAAAUAAUUUU
Small nuclear RNA from Balaenoptera ricei (Rice's whale), 121 nucleotides. The record is from RefSeq and is a predicted model, not a curated record. NCBI's taxonomy places the organism in Eukaryota, Metazoa, Chordata, Mammalia, Artiodactyla, Balaenopteridae.